RNAcentral lists this ribosomal RNA (498 nucleotides) under uncultured bacterium. RNAcentral's name for it is "partial 16S ribosomal RNA". It matches the Rfam family "Bacterial small subunit ribosomal RNA", at positions 29 to 507 of the family's 1533-position model. The record is from RNAcentral.
ACGAACGCUGGCGGCGUGCUUAACGCAUGCAAGUCGCACGGGCCCGCUCUCUUUUUUGGGGGUGGGUUGAGUGGCGAACGGGUGAGUAUCACGUGAGUAACCUGCCCCCUGCUCCUGGAUAACUGCUUGAAAGGGCGGCUAAUACGGGGUGUGCCGGCUGGUCCGCAUGGGCCUGGUCGGGAUAGUUUCAUCUUCGGGUGUUUCGGUGGGGGAUGGGCUCGCGGCCUAUCAGCUUGUUGGUGGGGUGAUGGCCCACCAAGGCGGUGACGGGUAGCCGGCCUGAGAGGGUGGGCGGCCACACUGGGACUGAGACACGGCCCAGACUCCUGCGGGAGGCAGCAGUGGGGGGUAUUGCACAAUGGGCGGAGGCCUGAUGCAGCGACGUCGCGUGAGGGAUGGAGGCCUUCGGGUUGUGAACCUCUUUCUCCGGUGGUGAAGGCCCUGUCCGUUGCGGCGGGGUUGACGGUAGCCGGGUAUGAAGCGCCGGCUAACUACGUG